Molecule: non-coding RNA, 100 nt
Filed under: Mycobacterium sp.
Lineage: Bacteria; Bacillati; Actinomycetota; Actinomycetes; Mycobacteriales; Mycobacteriaceae
Description: Glycine sequence
Rfam family: Glycine riboswitch aptamer
About the family: This family represents the bacterial glycine riboswitch. Glycine riboswitches usually consist of two metabolite-binding aptamers domains with similar structures in tandem. The aptamers cooperatively bind glycine to regulate the expression of downstream genes.
Source: RNAcentral
CGCCCUCGUGCGGGAGAGUUUCGUGACAGCCAGUCACGGACGCCGAAGGAGCAAUACCCUCUCCGUCAACCUCUCAGGCACCCAGGACCGCGCCAGGCCC